RNAcentral lists this ribosomal RNA (497 nucleotides) under uncultured bacterium. RNAcentral's name for it is "partial 16S ribosomal RNA". The stretch from base 55 to 497 matches the Rfam family "Bacterial small subunit ribosomal RNA", at positions 39 to 507 of the family's 1533-position model. The record is from RNAcentral.
GGGGGGGGGGGGGGGGGGGGCGGGGGGGGGGGGGGGGGGGGGGCGGGGGGGGGGGUGGCGUCUGGGGGGUUGGCGGCGGGCGGGUGAGUAGCACGUGGGUGAGCUGGCGAUAAGACGGGGAGAACUUCGGGAAACCGGAGCGAAUGGAGUAUACGAUUUUGAACCGGCGGGUUCAAAAGUGAGAGACGGUCUUGCUGUCACUGACAGAGUGAUCCGCGCUGCAUUAGCUAGUGUGUAAGGUAACGGCUGUCCAAUGCAACGAUGCAUAGCCGACCUGAGAGGGUGAUCGGCCACACUGGACCUGAGACACGGUCCAGACUACUACGGGAGGCAGCAGUAGGGAAUCUUCCGCACUGGGCGAAAGCCUGACGGAGCAACGCCGCGUGAGUGAUGAAGGUCUUCGGAUCGUAAAACUCUGGGAUUAGGGAAGAACAUAUGUGUAAGUAACUGUGCACAUCUUGACGGUACCUAAUCAGAAAGCCACGGCUAACUACGUG